This 129-nucleotide small nucleolar RNA is filed under the name Sciurus vulgaris (Eurasian red squirrel). Its description in RNAcentral is "Small nucleolar RNA SNORA17 (ENSSVLG00005025629.1)". It matches the Rfam family "Small nucleolar RNA SNORA17". From Rfam's summary of the family: snoRNA ACA 17 belongs to the H/ACA family of snoRNAs and is predicted to guide pseudouridylation of the 28S rRNA at positions U4659 and U4598. It shares the same host gene together with ACA43. NB This family has a high threshold value to exclude a large number of closely related sequences that do not appear to have conserved H and ACA boxes, and may be pseudogenes. The record is from Rfam by way of RNAcentral. Lineage: Eukaryota; Metazoa; Chordata; Mammalia; Rodentia; Sciuridae.
ACUGCCCCUGGAGGCGUUGCAGGUGUGGCUGCUGUGUCGCAUUUGCGUCCGUGGCGGCAGAGAGAAGCGGGCUACGUCUACGCUCAGUGUUCUCGCCGUGAACGUUUGAAUGAUUAGUAGCCCAACACC